Molecule: small nucleolar RNA, 88 nt
Organism: Papaver somniferum (opium poppy)
Lineage: Eukaryota; Viridiplantae; Streptophyta; Magnoliopsida; Ranunculales; Papaveraceae
Product: small nucleolar RNA R24
Exons: 1
Source: RefSeq, a predicted model, not a curated record
UAAGCAGUGAGCAGCUAACAUGUAAGAAGAACCCUUGUAGGAAGUGGAUUUUUCUAUGAAAUAUUCUUACGCUUGGCUUCUGGGCUUA